AUGUGGCGCCUGCCAUUGGCCAGGGGACGCAGGCGGCGCUCUGAUUGGCCGCGCCCGCGCCCGGGGAGCCCCGCGUUCUGCAGCGGCCGAAAGAUUCGAAACUCCAAAAGCUGCGCCGAGCGCCGGGGCGGGGCGGGGGGGACGCCGGGAGGAGCGCGGCAAAUAGCGAGCGAGCGGUUCCGAGCGCCGGCAGCGUGCGGCCUGCGCCCAAUUGCGGCGGCCGGCGCGCGUGUCCCGGGCCGCGCGUGCCCCGCUCCUGGGCCGCGCUGGGCUGCGCCGCCCUCCGGGGCCGGGGCGCUGGCAGGCCGAGUGUCCCCAGGGGCCCUGGUGGCCGGGGGCGGGAUAGGGGCAGAUCCUCUUGAACGCAGGAUGCGCGUCCGUCUGUCCGUCCUUCCGGGCCUGAGACGAGGUCGCCACGGACCCCCAGGACUAGUUGUAACUUUCGCCUUCCUCUCCCGCACUGACGUCACGGCCCCAGGAACAGUCCGACCUGCAGAGGAGGUCCAGUCGGCUUUGUUCCGGCUCCGGUGCACCAAGGCGCAGUGGCCGUGGGCCGCGGGACGGCGCGACCAGGCCGGGCCCCGGAACGCGGAGGAUUGCGCCCCCGCCUCUGCCGUCGGCUUCCCCAGCGAGCGGCGUGAGACGGCAGCGACCACCUGCACACACGCACCGUUCCUCGUUCAGGCGUGUGCUGACUGGGUACCAGUCAUUCUGCUGGGCCUGAGGAUGAGGAGGGACUUUGGGGGGGCCGCAGUCUGCGGGGGGGGGGGCGGGGGAACACGUGAGCUGGGAGGCAUGAUUCACGGUGGUCCAGCGCGACCGAAGGGCGGCGAGGAAGGGUCCUACCCUAACCUGGAGGUAGGGAGGGUGUCGCGAUGGUCAGGGAAACCGCUUAGGAGGACCUGA
Molecule: long non-coding RNA, 906 nt
Filed under: Canis lupus familiaris (dog)
Lineage: Eukaryota; Metazoa; Chordata; Mammalia; Carnivora; Canidae
Description: lncRNA (ENSCAFG00030007445.1)
Source: RNAcentral